This 254-nucleotide ribosomal RNA is filed under the name uncultured bacterium. RNAcentral describes it as "partial 16S ribosomal RNA". It matches the Rfam family "Bacterial small subunit ribosomal RNA", at positions 524 to 776 of the family's 1533-position model. The record is from RNAcentral.
UACGUAGGGGCCUAGCGUUGUCCGGAAUCAUUGGGCGUAAAGAGCUCGUAGGCGGUUCGGCAAGUCACGUGUGAAAUCUCCACGCUUAACGUGGAGGCGCCACGUGAAACUGCCGUGACUCGAGUCCGGUAGGGGAGUGUGGAAUUCCCGGUGUAGCGGUGAAAUGCGCAGAUAUCGGGAGGAACACCAGUAGCGAAGGCGGCACUCUGGGCCGGUACUGACGCUGAGGAGCGAAAGCAUGGGUAGCGAACAGG